Scleropages formosus (Asian bonytongue) is the source of this 107-nucleotide small nuclear RNA. Lineage: Eukaryota; Metazoa; Chordata; Actinopteri; Osteoglossiformes; Osteoglossidae. The record is from Ensembl.
GUGCUCACUUCGGCAGCACAUAUACUAAAAUUGGAACAAUACAGCGAAGAUUAGCAUGGCCUCUGCACAAGGAUGACACGCAAAUACAUAUUAAAAAAAAAAUGUAU